CUAAUAUUUCAUCCGUCUUACAAAGGUUGUCUCAACUUUGAUUAAAUUUGAAUGCAUUUAUACACUAAGUCAUGUCUAAAUACAUCCAAAUUUUGACAAACUUGAAACAUAUUUUGUUGGACGGAAGGAAUAUUAA
Non-coding RNA from Brachypodium distachyon (stiff brome), 136 nucleotides. The record is from Rfam. NCBI's taxonomy places the organism in Eukaryota, Viridiplantae, Streptophyta, Magnoliopsida, Poales, Poaceae.